This 1170-nucleotide long non-coding RNA is filed under the name Mus musculus (house mouse). RNAcentral describes it as "predicted gene, 50022". The record is from RNAcentral. Lineage: Eukaryota; Metazoa; Chordata; Mammalia; Rodentia; Muridae.
UGGUAUGAUCCAGUUAGGACACCACCCACUUCCUCCCUUCCUUGUCACCGAGGCUGGAUCAAAAAGAGAAAGCGCUGCUUUCUGCUCAGGCUUUAGCUCCAGGAUUCUCGAGCCAGGAGGAACAAGAUUCUUCAUUCAGCUCCAUGGACCUGAGGCCCAGACUGAACUCAGGCCUAUGGCUAGACCUCUCUAUCUCUAAGAAGAAGGAAGUGCUGGAACCAGAAAAGAGGAAAUAUGAUUUCAACAAACCAACCAACCAACCAACCAACCAACCAACCAACCAACCAAACCUCCAACCCCGAGCUAUUUGUGUGCUUGUUUUUGUCCUGGUGGGGAUGGAACUCAAGGCCUCACACAUUAGCUAAGCACUGUCACUGAGCUAUCCCCUCAGCCCCAAGGAGAAGCUGUUUAAAUUAAUCUCUGUGUAGUCCUGGCUGUCCUGGAACUCACUCUGUAGACCAGGCUGGCCUCGAACUCAGAGAUCUGCCUGCCUCUGCCACCUGAGUAUUGGAAUUAAAAUUGUGCACCACCACCAACCCACUUGUUUAUUUAUUUAUUUGUUUGUUUGUUUGCUACAGGAUCUCACUAUGUAGCAUAGGAUAAUCUAGAACUGCCUCUGUAGUCCAGGAUUGCCUUGAACUCACAGAAAUCCACCUGUCUUUGCUUCCUAAGGCCUGGGAUUAAAGACCUUUGCCACUAUGCUUGGCAAAGAUUGAGCUUUUUAGAGGAAUAAUAAAAAUAUUGUUUGUUUGUUUGUUAGGUUCAAGACUCCUGAAGCUCAUUUUGUAGACUAGGGUGGCCUUGAACUCACAGAGAUCCAACUGCCUCUGCCACCAUCACCAUCCCUCCCUGCCAUGGUGUGUGCCUGGGAUUAAAGGCCUGUGCCACCGUGCCUGGCAAUAAACAACAACAAAAUCCCCAAACAAAUGGAAAUCUGUACGUUUCAUGCUCACCAUAUACAGUGUGAGACCACACUAUUCACCUCUGUCUCCGGCUUUAUGCCCCUACAGAGAGACCACAGAGAAUUUCAGAUCCAGAACCUUCAGCUCUGAUUUCACCAGAUAACCCCUCCACUCCUCUUUCUUGUGUGCACAGCACCUGGACUCUUACCUAACGAAGAGAAACCCUUUCCCUGGCUUUCCCUGGGAUGCCUCUCACCCGGAAGCUAUU